Non-coding RNA from Myodes glareolus (Bank vole), 2646 nucleotides. Lineage: Eukaryota; Metazoa; Chordata; Mammalia; Rodentia; Cricetidae. The record is from RefSeq and is a predicted model, not a curated record.
AGGUCCUGCCUCUGCUUCCCAGGCUCCCACGACUAGGAGCAAAGGGCACCCGGGGCUCCUCUGUCCUUGAGUUCGACUCACGCCCCAGAUCUGAGUGUGCGUCUUCGGGGAGUUGGUUCCACUGAGUUCCCUCUCGCUCCCAAGCCAAGCUACUCAAGAAGGUCUUUGCCAGCUUGAGCUCUACUUUGCGUGGGAGAAGCGAAAGGCACGAAUUCCACGGUCUCUCUCCAUGGCCCGAAGCUCUCUGCAGAGCCAUAGAACAGGGCGGGAGUCGCCGGCCCGGCACCCGCGCUGCUCGCUGCUCAGUGCUCGCUCGCCGCCGCCGGUGUACUUGGAAGCCGAGUUCUGGUUCCGGGCCAGGGCUUUUGCUCGCGACCAACGGCCUUCGAGCCCAGCUCCAGGCAGGGACAAAGAAAAGCACUGCCUGGGGCCACCAGGGGCAGGGCCCACCGGUGGCGCUGUCCGCACCCUGCCACCCACAAGCGCCCCGGACCGCGAGCGCGGCGUCCCCAACACAAACACUGCCCCCGUAGCCCGCCCGAAGGCCCGGUCUCUCUCCCCCUGUUCCUCUUUGUUCACAUUGUCUUGGACUCUCAGGUCAAGAUGGUGAAAGUUGCUAAGACUUGAGCGCAGCUCCUGACGGCGUGCCAGAGAGAUGCAAAGUCCAAAGACCGGAGCCCUGCAGUAGGGAAGCAAAUAAAAGGUUUUUUUCUGUGGGAAAAGUCAACCUAAGGCGGUGAAGCCCUAGGGCAGGUCCUACUGGGACCAGUGGGUUUUACCCCAAAGACGAAGGUAGCAAUGAAUUUGCAGAUUUCGCGGUUGCUGGAGAUGCCCGUCCCUGGAGCGACCUUCCCCUGCCCCCGGGGUAGAAGGCGCUCCCGCAGGGCCCCCGAAGGAGAAGAGAGGAGCCAGGUGACCCUUCCUUCUGUCCACUCCCACACCUCUUUGCCGCAGUCCGGGGUCACCCGGAGUCCCAGCACUGGCUUCGUGGUCUGGCUUGCAAGUUUCCACUGCAGAAGAACCCUGCCGUGUGGUAUUUACAGCAGUCUCAUCCUCGGUGUUCGAGAGCUGACUGUAACAUUAACUGCUCGGUGGCGGAUACAAGAAGCUGGGAGGAAGUGACACUUCUCAUAAACUAUUAGAGUAGCUUGCAUUAAUCACCCCAGGUCGCCAACAGCCUUGUGUUAAGCGGGGACUCUGCUAAACCCCUUGGUACAAAGUGCCAGGUUGAUUUAAAAAAAAAAAAAAAUGGUAGGAGAGAUCGAGAGAAUGAAAAACAAGAAGGUGCUGUGUAAAGGGCUGGAGAACAGGGAGCAGACAUUUGCAGAGGACUGAACUGGGUCGUUUUCCACCAGCUGUCUCCAACCACGUUCUUUCUGUCUGAAUUUAGCCUGUUCUCCUGCGAGCAAAGACCAUUUCCGCCUCUGGGUCCUGAAGCAUCCUGUCCCUUUAAAAGUGAUGCAGCAGUGAGAAAGAGUAAAGUAGCUGACCCAGCACUUUUGCAGUGUGCUCUUGCCUUCUCGUUCCCACUGCAGUCAUUUAGUUCGCUUUUCAUCUGCAUCCCUACCUCCUGCCUCCGGUGGCGGCAAGCCCCUUCUUGGCCCCCUGCCCCUUUGCUUGCCCAUCGGCUUACAUGUGGUCCUUUCCCUGCCUAGUGAUAGAAAGGAUGACCUUGCUAUCUCCCUGACCUUAUUACAUUUUUCCCAGGCACUCACCCCACGCCCGCUCGUGGCUAACCUCUUCAAGGUUGCUUCAGAGUUGCACCAUAACUGCAUUCAGGUUCUAGAAUGUUUCACCAGCACUCUUCAGUCCUUACAAUAAAAUGGUGCUGUGGCUUUCUAGGUACACCUGUCUGGGUGACAGACUUACGAAUAAAAGAAAAGCAACAUAAAGCAGGCACCACUUAUAUGCCUCCUAUAGCCCUCCAUGCAUUUCUGCACAUGGGGCGUUCAGUCAGUUCUAAACCCCAAUCUCUCUGAUGGUCUCUCUCCUCCAAGGGCCUUAAUCCCUCCCCUUUGUCCUUUCUUUCCCCCAACCCCUGACCACUGGAUUCUAUCAGGUCUGACACUUGCCUUUCCUGCUAUCACUGUAGUGCCUGGGCCCAGACUGGAGUAAGUGAUGAGAAGUCAAGGGAACUAUGACAAUGAAUGAGCACCCCAAGAGUCCACAGAUCUGUAACACGGGAUCCAGCAUACCUCCUCUCACUGCUGCUGUGCACCCUGGCUUAAAUGCAUGCGUUCAUCACUCCCAUCCGCAGAGGAAAAAGGAUGAGCAGACUAAAAAUCAAGAAUUCAUCUUAAGGCCCCAGAAAACUGAGGUCCUGAGACAGACUGCUGGGGAGCCGGGCAGACAGACAUAGAGUUAAUACUUCCAAAGCAGAAGAGAGGGGAAGCAACCUACACCUGGAGCCAAGUAUUGCAGCUUGACCCUACAGGAUGUAAAUGGCCUGUCACUAGCUGACUUCACGGCGACACCGUGUGUUUCGGUGUGUUGACUACACAGUGAAAAGGCAACGAGACGUUCCUGGUGCUCCUAAGUCUACCCAAAUGUGAAGGAGAGUGUACACUUUGAGUCCUUUCCCCUUAAAAGCUGUAAGAUCCAAGAGGCCAUGCCCAUUAUUAAUCAUUAAAUAUUUCCCUGACAGUG